CUUACCUUUUCGUUCAUACUCCUUUCGCAUGAACUUGUCAAAUUUCUUAAUAACGAGUCCGAACUCGUUAUCUUCGUCGCUUGAAUCCUCAUCAUUUUGAGGUUGAGCCGUGCUUGCUUUAAGGGCGAUUCUUCUUUUCCUUUGAUCAUCCAAAGGAGGGUUAAGAAUAGUAGAUUCAUAGGUUUUGAGAUUACCUCUAAGCCCG
RNAcentral lists this long non-coding RNA (205 nucleotides) under Nicotiana benthamiana. RNAcentral's name for it is "long non-coding RNA (NBEN_LNC010238)". Lineage: Eukaryota; Viridiplantae; Streptophyta; Magnoliopsida; Solanales; Solanaceae. The record is from RNAcentral.